RNA transcript from Pocillopora damicornis (cauliflower coral), 1157 nucleotides. RefSeq lists it as uncharacterized. The record is from RefSeq and is a predicted model, not a curated record. NCBI's taxonomy places the organism in Eukaryota, Metazoa, Cnidaria, Anthozoa, Scleractinia, Pocilloporidae.
AUGCUCACGUAUUUACGCACGCCCGUGCGUAAAUAAAGAUUUUGUUCAUAGCGGUUCAAUAGGACUUAUAUAGGGCAAGCACACGCGCUAUGUUAUAGGAUGGCAUUUCGUUAUAACAGCAAUCUAUUAUCACCAUUCAUUUCUAGGAUGUAAAUGAACAGCUACGCUCAAAAGUGAAUGAAAUAUUGGGAUAAAAGUAAAGCCAUGACGACAAACUAGGUCAAUAAACCUACAAUCUUUCCCGAAAAGCUGCGAAUUCAUUUGACCUUUCUGUUGAAAUACAGUCCAUAUUCUCGCCACGGAAAUUUUCCUUCUUCACCAUUUCCCACACUCUUUUGGUAGAGUAGGUUUAUAAUGAUAUAUGUGGAAAUUUGCAUUGACGUGUUUAUAAAACUCGAAAUGCAGUAUCGACGAGCACCAAUUUUUCACCUGGCUGGUAUAAAUGUAGCGAAUCAUAAAUUAACUAAGGAACAAACAGAAAAAUUUUAAUAAGACAAGUUGCUUGAUGAAAUCAAUUGCAUUUUGGUUGUGUCAAGAUCAAUCUAGAGACCUCACAAUUCCUUGAGAAAACAGACUGUAAACUAAGUACGUAUAUCACUAGAAUGACGAGGCUGAAUUUGCGCACAAUCUUUCCCUCGUGUGUUCUUGUUCUGGUUGCAAUCACAAGUAACGAAUCGUGUCCAGGCUCUGCAGAAAAUUUUGAACACAUUUUACAGACUCGUCAGCUUCCCGGAAAAUUUCAGUCUAAUGAUGAGGGAUUCAUCCUAUCUAGACAGCCUGUUCAUUCAAUGAUGGAAUGCCUAGAUACAUGCUUGCGAACAGUUAUGUGUGGUUCUUUUGGCGUGGUUAAAAGGCCAGAGAGGUGGGGUUGCCGAAUUUACAAACAUAUCCCACACCACCAGCUUCUAAAGCUGAUCCAUCCAAAAGCCGGAUGGAUGCAUUUUAACGCAAGCUCAUACGAACUUCAAAAGAUUCUAUGGCAAGCAAACGUGGCCUGCAGAUAAAGGAAAAGAGCUCUGUUUACAUUAACAAUAAUUAUAUUAAAAAAGUGGCGCUGAGAAAAACAUGGACAAAGACAUAUGCCUCCCGAAGAAAAAUCGUUGAGUGUGAUUUAUAGCAUGUAGUGCCACUCCAACAGAAGAAAAUUAUACAUGUGA